UUUACCACAGGGUUACAGAUGUAUUAAUGACAGAGGUUUACCACAGGGUUACAGAUGUAUUAAUGACAGAGGUUUACCACAGGGUUACAGAUGUAUUAAUGACAGAGGUUUACCACAGGGUUACAGAUGUAUUAAUGACAGAGGUUUACCACAGGGUUACAGAUGUAUUAAUGACAGAGGUUUACCACAGGGUUACAGAUGUAUUAAUGACAGAGGUUUACCACAGGGUUACAGAUGUAUUAAUGACAGAGGUUUACCACAGGGUUACAGAUGUAUUAAUGACAGAGGUUUACCACAGGGUUACAGAUGUAUUAAUGACAGAGGUUUACCACAGGGUUACAGAUGUAUUAAUGACAGAGGUUUACCACAGGGUUACAGAUGUAUUAAUGACAGAGGUUUACCACAGG
Molecule: long non-coding RNA, 407 nt
Organism: Oncorhynchus keta (chum salmon)
Lineage: Eukaryota; Metazoa; Chordata; Actinopteri; Salmoniformes; Salmonidae
Exons: 4
Source: RefSeq, a predicted model, not a curated record